Molecule: ribosomal RNA, 406 nt
Filed under: uncultured bacterium
Lineage: Bacteria
Description: partial 16S ribosomal RNA
Rfam family: Bacterial small subunit ribosomal RNA
Source: RNAcentral
AUUGAACGCUAGCGGCAUGCUUAACACAUGCAAGUCGAACGAGUGGCGGACGGGUGAGUAAUGUCUGGGAAACUGCCCGAUGGCGGGGGAUAACUACUGGAAACUGUAGCUAAUACCGCAUACCAUCGGAUCUGCCCAUAUUGGAUUAGCUAGUAGGUGGGGUAAAGGCUCACCUAGGCGACGAUCCCUAGCUGGUCUGAGAGGAGGACCAGCCACACUGGAACUGAGACACGGUCCAGACUCCUACGGGAGGCAGCAGUGGGGAAUAUUGGACAAUGGGCGCAACCCUGAUGCAGCCAUGCCGCGUGUAUGAAGAAGGCCUUCGGGUUGUAAAGUACUUUCGGCGGGGAGGCGUUACCCGCAGAAGAAGCACCGGCUAACUCCGUGCCAGCAGCCGCGGUAAUAC